RNAcentral lists this ribosomal RNA (463 nucleotides) under uncultured bacterium. RNAcentral describes it as "partial 16S ribosomal RNA". It matches the Rfam family "Bacterial small subunit ribosomal RNA", at positions 28 to 507 of the family's 1533-position model. The record is from RNAcentral.
GAUGAACGCUGACAGAAUGCUUAACACAUGCAAGUCUUUGGCGAAGCUGUGCUUGCACAGCCUAGCCAAGGCGGACGGGUGAGUAACGCGUAAGGAACUUGCCCUGCAGUCAGGGAUAACAGACGGAAACGACUGAUAAGACCUGGUAAAGUCAGGCGGACUCAUGUCCAGCCUGAUGAAAAGAGAUGCUGCAGGAGAGCCUUGCGUCCUAUUAGCUUGUUGGUGGGGUAACGGCCCACCAAGGCGAUGAUAGGUAGCCGGCCUGAGAGGGUGGACGGCCACAAGGGGACUGAGAUACGGCCCUUACUCCUACGGGAGGCAGCAGUGGGGAAUAUUGGACAAUGGGGGCAACCCUGAUCCAGCAAUUCUGUGUGCACGAUGAAGGUUUUCGGAUUGUAAAGUGCUUUCAGCAGGGUAGAAAAAAAUGACGGUACCUGCAGAAGAAGCGACGGCUAAAUACGUG